UGCAAUAAGUUUCAUUGUCAGCAUGUCCCAUCAUGUGCCUACGUGCCUCCCCCCUUAUCCUGUAGUCUCUGAAGGAUUUUGAACUAUGAAUUAUUCUUCUGAUAGAAAAGCUCAUUGCCCCAAGUAAAUGCACGAAUAUAGUCAUUCAAUUAGAGUUGCUGAUUAUUCUGUUGAGUCAAAUAACAGGCGCGUGUUUUUUUCUAGCAAGUAUGAGUGCAGCUUUACAACAGGACUUACAUCGGCACUGACUGAUUAUUUCUGUUUGGCUUAUAAAAUUUUCUCAACAGGGAAGGAUAUGUAUCAAUUAAAACUACAGAA
This is a long non-coding RNA of Rhodamnia argentea, 318 nucleotides long. RefSeq lists it as uncharacterized. The transcript is spliced from 2 exons. The record is from RefSeq and is a predicted model, not a curated record. Lineage: Eukaryota; Viridiplantae; Streptophyta; Magnoliopsida; Myrtales; Myrtaceae.